UUUCAAACCUAUCGCUGUAUGUUAUAUUUGACUGUGAAAACAUUUGAAUUUUACCGACAAUAGUUUCACAAGGCUGAGCAGAAAAACGAUUCGUGACGAGUUUCUUGCAUUGCAAAAUUCUAUGAGAAUAUGGACAGAUUUUUAACUUAUCAGGUUUCAUCCCAACCACAGGCGCCUCAAAAAUUCGAACCAUAGACCAGGUGCGAGAGUAGCGGAUAGGGGCAUGGUCGGUAUGGCAAACAGCCCGCCAGACUUUUUUCAGUUCAAACGUACCACGCUGUAGAUCGAGAACGGGCUCACGAUCGGAACGUCACACUAUCACGUGAGACUCUAUAUCUUUAAUAUGAUUUUCUUCGUGCACUUUUUUUUAGUGCCAAGCGAAUAACCUCGUACAAGUGAUUUCAAGAAAAAUUUGGCUAAUUUACUGUCCAAAAUACUUCAUAGAUUCCCGUUCUGGAGUCUAUUUAGAUGCUACUACGGAAAC
Varroa destructor (honeybee mite) is the source of this 484-nucleotide long non-coding RNA. Lineage: Eukaryota; Metazoa; Arthropoda; Arachnida; Mesostigmata; Varroidae. The record is from RefSeq and is a predicted model, not a curated record.